GGUUUUAUUGUUCGGAGUUUGCUCUCCUAGGCAGAUUGCCCACCACGGCUGACGAGCUCCACCUGCCCGGGUUUUAUGUAUGGAGUUUGCUCUCCUAGGUGUAUUACCUAUGACGGCUCACGAGCCCAACCUGCCCGGGUUUAUUGUUCGGAGUUUGCUCUCCUAGGUGUAUUACCUAUGACGGCUCACGAGCCCAACCUGCCCGGGUUUUAUGAUCGGAGUUUGCUCUCCUAGGUGUAUUACCUAUGACGGCUCACGAGCCCAACCUGCCCGGGUUUUAUGAUCGGAGUUUGCUCUCCUAGGUGUAUUACCUAUGACGGCUCACGAGCCCAACCUGCCCGGGUUUAUUGUUCGGAGUUUGCUCUCCUAGGUGUAUUACCUAUGACGGCUCACGAGCCCAACCUGCCCGGGUUUAUUGUUCGGAGUUUGCUCUCCUAGGUGAAUUGCCUACCACGGCUAACGAACCUCACCUGCCCGGGUUUGUAAUCGGAGUUUGCUCUCCUAGGUGAACUGCUUUCGCUAACGACCUCCACCUGCCCGGGUUUGUAAUCGGAGUUUGCUCUCCUAGAUGAAUUGCUUUCGCUAACGACCUCCACCUGCCCGGGUUUGUAAUCGGAGUUUGCUCUCCUAGGUGAACUGCUCACGCUAACGACCUCCACCUGCCCGGUUUUGUAAUCGGAGUUUGCUCUCCUAGAUGAACUGCUUUCGCUAACGACCUCCACCUGCCCGGGUUUAUUGUUCGGAGUUUGCUCUCCUAGGUGAAUUGCCUACCACGGCUAACGAACCUCACCUGCCCGGGUUUGUUGUUCGGAGUUUGCUCUCCUAGGUGAAUUGCCUACCACGGCUAACGAACCUCACCUGCCCGGGUUUGUUGUUCGGAGUUUGCUCUCCUAGGCAGAUUGCCU
Long non-coding RNA from Eriocheir sinensis (Chinese mitten crab), 905 nucleotides. RefSeq lists it as uncharacterized. The transcript has 3 exons. The record is from RefSeq and is a predicted model, not a curated record. NCBI's taxonomy places the organism in Eukaryota, Metazoa, Arthropoda, Malacostraca, Decapoda, Varunidae.